RNAcentral lists this transfer RNA (83 nucleotides) under Ignavibacteria bacterium. Its description in RNAcentral is "tRNA-Leu". It matches the Rfam family "tRNA". Rfam says of the family: Transfer RNA (tRNA) molecules are approximately 80 nucleotides in length. Their secondary structure includes four short double-helical elements and three loops (D, anti-codon, and T loops). The record is from RNAcentral. Lineage: Bacteria; Pseudomonadati; Ignavibacteriota; Ignavibacteria.
GCGUUGGUGGCGAAAUGGCAGACGCACAGGACUUAAAAUCCUGGGGAGUUACAUCCGUGUGGGUUCGAGUCCCACCCGACGCA